CAGGAGGGAGUCUACAUCAGUCUGCCAGGAGAGCAGCUCAAUGGGAAGGAGAAGGCCUGCAGAGAUAUGACUCUUUUUCCAAGACCUGAACUGAACUGUGUGAAUGGCGUUGUAUUAUCUUGAAUGUCACAUCAUAAAUGGUUUCUAAUUAGGGACCUCCCUGAACACAAUAAAGAGAGAGGAAGCACAGGGUGUUUUCAGAGCAGUAAGGAGUUGUAACUGAGCACAUCUCUGCUGUUCUCCUCUCAAAUAAAACCAAA
Molecule: long non-coding RNA, 260 nt
Organism: Fundulus heteroclitus (mummichog)
Lineage: Eukaryota; Metazoa; Chordata; Actinopteri; Cyprinodontiformes; Fundulidae
Exons: 2
Source: RefSeq, a predicted model, not a curated record